CAGUAGCCGCGGGAAUACAGAGGGUGCGAGCGUUAAUCGGAUUUACUGGGCGUAAAGCGUGCGUAGGCGGCUAAUUGAGUCGGAUGUGAAAUCCCCGAGCUUAAUUUGGGAAUUGCAUUCGAUACUGGUUAGCUAGAGUGUGGGAGAGGAUGGUAGAAUUCCAGGUGUAGCGGUGAAAUGCGUAGAGAUCUGGAGGAAUACCGAUGGCGAAGGCAGCCAUCUGGCCUAACACUGACGCUGAGGUACGAAAGCAUGGGGAGCAAACAGGAUUAGAUACCCGCGUAGUCCCUGUCUCUUAUAC
RNAcentral lists this ribosomal RNA (301 nucleotides) under uncultured bacterium. Its description in RNAcentral is "partial 16S ribosomal RNA". It matches the Rfam family "Bacterial small subunit ribosomal RNA", at positions 509 to 807 of the family's 1533-position model. The record is from RNAcentral.